This 418-nucleotide long non-coding RNA is filed under the name Chloebia gouldiae (Gouldian finch). RNAcentral describes it as "Erythrura gouldiae (Gouldian finch) lncRNA (ENSEGOG00005003074.1)". Lineage: Eukaryota; Metazoa; Chordata; Aves; Passeriformes; Passeridae. The record is from RNAcentral.
CUCAACAGUUCUGUACCCAAGCACAGGGACAAGUCCAUUCCACAAACCUUGAAAAACAUACAUGGCUGGCUAUUUCAUAUUUUUCAUGUCCCAGGUUUCACGUUUCUGGAUGUCUACACUGUGAAAUUUGUCUGUGUUUGGGUUUUGGCCAUGCAAAGAUCCUUCGCCCUUGAUGUGUGGGUCUGUGCACCUCACUUCUUCCACAUGCUGACAUCAGUGGAAACUCCACACUGGGACAGGAGCAAUACAUCUGCUGCUGCUUUCUGGGGAGGAAGAGAGAAGAGUGAAUGCUCAGCAGUUGUUUUGUAAUGGGUAGCCUGAGAAAUUUCCAUCACAGCUCUGAUCUGCUCAGGUGGACCCGUGUUCUCCUUUCCCAGCCUGUGAAGGGAGACAAAAUGUCUGGCAGACAACAAAUAAA